AUUGUUUUGGCAGAGUAGUGCAUUAAAUUUAGAAUUUAGAUAUGUAUGGAUAAUACAGGCAAUA
RNAcentral lists this transfer RNA (64 nucleotides) under Dorcus rectus. RNAcentral's name for it is "tRNA-Leu". The record is from RNAcentral. Lineage: Eukaryota; Metazoa; Arthropoda; Insecta; Coleoptera; Lucanidae.